RNAcentral lists this non-coding RNA (582 nucleotides) under Pongo abelii (Sumatran orangutan). The record is from RNAcentral. Lineage: Eukaryota; Metazoa; Chordata; Mammalia; Primates; Hominidae.
GCACACCCGGUUCUGCCACCGAAGCGGCGGAGCGACCGGCAGCGCCCGCUUACGCCUGCCCCACUGGCGGGCAUCCCAGGGUUAACAAACAAUUGUGUUUAUUGACAAGUUCAUACAUCAGUACAAACGGGCACGUUAAAAACCCCCCGCCCCAUGCAGCCGAGGAGGAGGCGGGAAGCGCCGCGACCUACACAAAGUGUUCCACAUAAGCCAGGGUGGUGAAGCUGAGGCAGGAUGUGAGGAAACCAGGCACACAGCAGCCAGCCGGAUACUCUAGCAACCCAACACUCAACAGCGUGCUAUGCAGCAGGGCCUGUGUCUGCUCGGCUCCCACAGCCCCAGGGCUGCUGCCUGGGCUGGACAGCACUGCCCCAGCCACAGCUUCCAGCUCCUGUCGCACUGAAGAGAAGGUGUCUCUGAGGAGCUGGGUGAUCCGACUUUGCUCUGCUGAGGGCAUCUUGCAGCCAGCCACCUGAAACAGGACCCCCAGAAGUGAGGUGGAGGAGCCUGUCAACAGACAUAUAAAAGGGAGGGGCCCCACCUGGGUCCAGCCUGCCUCAGAAGGGACUAGCUAGGAACUCU